CUAUAUCUACCCUGUAGAUCCGAAUUUGUAUAUAUCACAUGACAAAUGCGAAUCUGCGGAGUUAUAUUUA
RNAcentral lists this microRNA precursor (70 nucleotides) under Mytilus galloprovincialis (Mediterranean mussel). It matches the Rfam family "mir-10 microRNA precursor family". From Rfam's summary of the family: In this case the mature sequence comes from the 5' arm of the precursor. The extents of the hairpin precursors are not generally known and are estimated based on hairpin prediction. The products are thought to have regulatory roles through complementarity to mRNA. The record is from RNAcentral. Lineage: Eukaryota; Metazoa; Mollusca; Bivalvia; Mytilida; Mytilidae.